UUGAAAAAGCAUGUGUGCGCUUUGUACAAUUCCAAGAAACUUUGGGCUGAACCAAGACGCAUAUGCCACCCAAGUUUACCAAUAUCAAAGAUUGGUAGAUGUUGGAUCGGCGGAUGUACAACUGCGUUAUUUUCAAAGCACCAGUACAAUACCAAGAUAAAUAUUGAGUGAAUUUGGCCUACCAAAACAUGUUAUAUUGCCAACUAUUUUGGCCUGGCAAACUUAUACAGACUGAAUACAUGAAUAAAUUCUAUAGACACUGUGAUUAUUCUGUACCAAAUACCUUGACCUGGGGUAGACCAGACAGACAAGCGGCAAACUGAAUGGCACGAUUCAUUCGGAAGAUUCACCGCAAAAGGAAGAUAAGGUAAUCCAACACAUGGUGAAUAAAAUUCCAACAUGGCAGUGACCUAAACCAUGACAGCAACAAGGGUCCAGAAAGAUGGAAUGACCAUCAUCUAUAUUUAUUGGACUUCUCAUCAUCCCACAGCCUGUGCAGAUCCCAUUUACGGCUCUGCCAUGUGGGAGUUAAAUAUGAGUUGGUCUUCCUCCAUCCCUCGGCAAACCCGCAUGAGGGAGAAAGGUAACUAGCUUCAAGGUGCAAGUCAGAAAACCAAGCAAGUUUGCGCUGCUUGAACAGGAUGAGCUUGCUUGAAUUCAAAUAACAGAUCGGCAUUGCCAUCAGCUCAAAGGCUCCAGUAACACCAAAGCAUCAGUUAGUUUGCGCUGGAAUUCAGCAGGCAUGCACGCGCGCACAACAAGGUCAGAGGAAUGCGGACGCUGAAGCAGCUCCCACAAGAUGUCUCAACCUCGAAUGAUCUGCAUGUAAGUAUGAAGGCGUUCAGGAUUUGCUGAGCAGAUAACAUAGUUCUUUUCACGAUUCUAAGGUGCCCAUUUCCUAUAAAUUGCUUCAUACAAGCAGUAAUUCUGACUAUGUGUGUCCAUGUGUUUUAAUGUUUUACUCAUCAAUAUGAAUGCAGUAUGCAAAAGCAACAAAAUGUCAACUGAAAACAUGCAAAUAAAAACAGUUGAACAUAGAGCCUAAGUACUUAGAAUUACCAAUUUUGCUGAACUCCUGUUUUUUAAUGUCAACAUUGCUGCUUCCGCAAAGGCUUGUGCAGCUACAGCAUCAGCUUCUGCAGCCUCCGCUUCCCUCACUGCGGCUUCAGCUUCCGCCAUGAUAGCGUCUGCCUCAGCAACCGCACGAGCUGCUGCAGCUGCAGCCUCUUCUGCGCUCAUGUUUCUCAUCCGUGCAAGUUCGGCAUCUACCUGAGAUUUAGUGUGGGCGGUAAAGCCAUCCCUCUCUACCUUCUCUACCUUGGUUGGCUCCUUUUUUAUAUCAUCAAGCAGCAGCAUUUUGGAGCUUCGCCCUUCUAAAAAAGAUGAGCUAGGGGCUAUCCUGUACUUCCGAUUCACCUAAAAUUGUUAAACUUUAGUACCGGGCUGCAUGGCAUAUGGCUUAUACUCUUAAAAAGAGUAACCUAGUCUAUCUAGGUGUGCACAUACAAAUUUUCAAGGCUAAAAUAGAAAGAUUAUCCAGGUUCAUGGUUUUAGGGACCUUACAUUCCAACUAGAAAUAUGUAUAACAUUACAAUUUUCAGGUGGACCAUGGGGAAAAAAUGCGCAUACAAAAGAUAUCACUGCCAAAACGUCAUAUAUUUAGGAACAGAGGGAGUAGUUAGUACGAUUCAAAAUGUUAUACUAUAUUUCAUAAAGAUACUAUUAUACCUUUUGCUGGAUCUCUUUGUUUUGGCAGUUCAAUUUGAACUGCCAAAACGUCUUAUAUUUAGGAACGGAGGGAGUAGAUAAGUACUGUACUACUGUACUAGAUAUGUUACGACACUGAAAGCAAUUGUAAUAGAAUAGAUAAGUAGAUGCCAAUAGCAGGCAAACAAUGUUUGGAACAGAGAGUGCUCGUGCACGUGUUGAUAGGGUGAAUGCAUGCGGGGAGCACAACAUAUCAAGCACAGUCAUCCAUAUAAUGAUAAACCAUACAUAAUAUGUAAACAUACAAUAUGAAAACAUCCUAGUUCAAUUCAAUUGAGCUUCAUCAGACUUAAAUUAUAUGCUACAACCUACAACAAUGGUAAUGUGACUUUGCUACAUUAUAUCAGGGCACCCUUUUUCCCACCUCUUUAUAAUCUACAAUAAUGGAGUUAAGAUAGAAAGAAAUGCUCCUACCUUCAUCAAUUUCCCAGAUGAUGUCAACUCAUUCAGUUUUGCAGACAGUACAUGAUCAAAAUCAGCAGGUGGCCAGUAUUGUUCCUACAUGACAUGAAAAAUUAUGUUAAGAAUGGUGCAAUCUACAUAAGAAGCUAGAUUAUGUAGAACUCUGCCACAAUGGAAUGGAAUUUUGGAGCCACUAGUUAUCAUGAAAUCAUUUCUGCAUGUCUAUGUUGUCCCAGAAUUUUUUGCAUCACUGCCUGAAUAAUUAUCAAAACUAUAUCAAGUGAUCAGCGACGUAAAUGAGUAAUGUUUUAUUAAUGAAGACUACGAAAUUUGGCAUUUGUAAAGGAUCAUAUAUUCGGUUUGUUGUUAGCAUUUCAUUGUGAUCAAGUAGACCAUAAACAGAAGAAGCAUAGAAACCUCUAUGUAAUUAGCAACGGCUGUUUUGUAUGACCCUGUAGGCUCAUUCAAGGUCUUCACGGCCUCCAGUAUGAUAUUUUCUAGCCUGCAGGAACGGCACCAUAGAGGUACAUUAAAGCAGUCAAAAACCUUCCAAGUUUCUGUUCAAGAUACUGGUAGAACAUAGGACAUAAAACAAGCAUUCCAGACCAGUAUAUCGAACAGGGCACCUACCUGGAUAGCGAUUUAUUCCCUGAACCUGUAGUAAACGUCACAAUAGGCUUUAUGAUAGGCUUCACGUCGACGACGUCAUCAUCACCGUCAGAGGUGAUGGUGGUGAUCGCCGUCGAGUGGGUUUCCUGCUUCGGAGCAGACCUCGGCUUCUUAGCCGUGGGCGUCGUCGUCGUCGUCGUCGUCCUCACUUUGUCGCGAGUGCCCGACGCGUUCACGGUGACAUUCAUGUUCCGCCACUUGUCCUGCAAUCACAGUCGGCAAACACGCAUCCACGCAGGCAACAGUCAUCAGAGUCUCCAAUCUAGAGCGAAUAAACCGCGCAGGGUCUGACAGCUGAUGAAACGGACGCAGGAACGAACCUUGAGGUCAACGUUGGAUCGGUAGCGCAGGAUGUUGCUGAACUCGGGGUCCUUGAGUAUGGUGCGCCAUUUCCCGGCCCCGUGCUUGCCUAUCCCGGCCUUGAGCGCCGCCUCCUCCUCCGCCGUCCACUUCUGCUUCGGCGCCCCCAUCUGCUUCGGCCUUGCCCUAGAAGGCUAGGGCUCCCCUUCCUCCUCCUCCUCCUCCUCCUCCUCCUACAACGAAAGCAACAGCGCCUGUCGCCAAACAAAUCGGAGGCGGAUCUAGACCCGGAAUCCCUCUAGGUCAGUUCGGGAUCGAGUAAUCAACCACCGGAUCGACGCCUAGAAAGCUCGUACUCGUACGUACCUGGGAAGCAAAGGCUGCGGACGGGGCGGGGGCGGAGGCGCGGCGAUGUGGGGCGGAGACGUCGACCGCGCGCGGGAGGCGCCGGCGGUGGCUAGGGCACGUUCGGCGGCAGGUCUAGGGCACGGUGGAUUGGAGCUUGAGAUAGGGCAGGGCAGCAGAGGGCAGAGGAGGAUACGGUGGAGAGGAAAAGUCGCCGCGGGGAUGAUGGAUUUUUUUUAUUUUAUUUUUGCUCUGUCGACACCAAAGCUAUCCAAACGGGCCGGGCCAAACAGGCCAGCCCGCGAGCACGCCGGCACGAGGCAUGGCACGGGCUAAACGGGUCAUGCCCGGCACGCCUUGGGUCAUGUCUGGGCUUGGAAGCUGGGCACAGGGCCGGCACGAAACGGACAGUUAUUAUUUUUAUUUGUCUCAAAAAAAUUAAUUUAUUCAAAAUAUUUUAUAUAUGUGUGUUCUAAAAUACACCCAAUAGGCCUAACAAUAGCCCAACGGGCUAAAAAAUAUACAACUUAACGUGCUAAACGUGCCACGGGCCGGCCCGUUUAUUAGCUGGGCCGUGCCUAGGCUGGAGGACACAGCACAUGUGUCGGCACAGCACGGCCCGACUAAUAAUCGUGCCACGGCAGACCGUGCCGUGGCCAGCCCAGUUAGGGUGGGUCCUGUCGGCCCAACGUACUCCCUCUCUAAACCAGUAUUAGUUUACUUUACAGAGGGAGUUGCAAUUAAUUUGAUUUUUGCUAAAUUGCACGCUUUGUCUAUUUAAUUUUUGACGAAAUAUUAUUUUGUAUUGUUAGAAAAUUAGUAAGGAUUUAGGACUAGAAUUUGGGUCUUUUGGUUCAAGUGCUUUUUUUGCAAAAAUAGUUCAAGGGAAUUCAUGAGCAUUUAGAAUAGCUCCCGUACUGGUAAAAAAACUACACUCCAUGAAAGGUUAAGAUAAAAACAACCCUUCAACUGCUCAUGUAAACCUUUUUUUUUCUGGAUUCCAUAGAAUUUCUCCCAACUUCCCUCGUAUUUACGGGAGCAUAGUCCUUCCCGUAUAAUUUGGUAGGCAGGAAACCACGUAAAAAUUCACAGGAGUUGGGCUGGACCAAAAGCGUGAAGCUCGCAAGAUUAAUAAACACUCUCACGAUAGCUCGUUAAACUAAUUAGUACAACACAACACAUUUUUUUAUGUAACAACAUUUUGAAGGAAAUAUGCUCUAAAGGCAAUAAUAAAGUUGUUAUUUUAUAUUUCCUUAUUCAUGAUAAAUGUUUAUUGUUCAUGUUAGAAUUGUAUUAACCGGAAAUUUGAUACUUGUGUGGAUACAUAGACAAAACUACGUAUCCCUAGUAUGCCUCUACUAGACUAGCUCGUUGAUCAAAAAUGGUUAAGUUUCCUAGCCAUGGACAUGAGUUGUCAUUUGAUAACAGGAUCACAUCAUUAGUAGAAUGGUGUGAUGGACAAGACCCAUCCGUUAGCUUAGCAUAAUGAUCGUUCAGUUUUAUUGCUACUGCUUUCUUCGUGUCAAAUAUAUAUUCCUCCGACUAUGAGAUUAUGCAACUCCCGGACACCAGAGGAAUGCCUUAUGUGCUAUCAAACGUCACAAUGUAAUUGGGUGAUUAUAAAGAUGCUCUACAGGUAUCUCCGAAGGUGCUUGUUGGGUUGACAUAGAUUGAGAUUAGGAUAUGUAACACUAAGUAUCGGAGAGGUAUCUCUGGGCCCUCUCGGUAAUGCACAUCAAAUGAAGCCUUGCAAGCAAUGUGACUAAUGAGUUAGUUACGAGAUGAUGCACUACGGAACGAGUAAAGAGACUUGCUGGUAACGAGAUUGAACUAGGUAUGUAGAUACCGACAAUCGAAUCUCGGGCAAGUAACAUACCAAUGACAAAGGGAAUAACUAUAUUGACAUUGCGAUUCGACCGAUAAAGAUCUUCGUGGAAUAUGUGGGAACCAAUAUGAGCAUCCAGUUUUGCUAUUGGUUAUUGACCGGAGAGGUGUCUCGGUCAUGUCUACAUAGUUCUCGAACCCGUGGGGUCUGCACGCUUAACGUUCGAUGACGAUUGAUAUUAUAUGAGUUAUGUGUUUUGGUGACCAAAGGUUGUUCGGAGUCCCGGAUGAGAUCACAGACAUGACGAGGAGUCUCGAAAUGGCCGAGAGGUAAAGAUUGAAAUAUUGGAAGGUUACAUUCGAACACCGGAAUGGUUUCGGGGAGUUUCGGAUGAUUCUCGGAGUACCGGGAGGUUACUGGAACCCCCCGGGGAAUUAAUGGGCCAACAUGGGCCAUAGGGGAGAGGGGAGACAGCCCACAAGAGGUGCCCCCCCCAUGGGAGUCCGAAUUGGACUAGGGGAGGGGGGUGCCCCCCUUUCCCUGUCCUACUCCCUCUCCCUUUCUCCCUUUGCUACUCUGGAAAGGAAAGGGAAUCCUACUCGGACUGGGAGUAGGACUCCCCCCAUGGCGCGCCCCUCUAGGCCGGCCGCCUCCUCCCCUACUCCUUUAUAUACGGGGGCAGGGGGCACCCCAAAGCACAACAAUUAUUCUCUUAGUCGUGUGCGGUGCCCCUGUCCACCAUUUACUCCUCCGAUAGUAUCAUCAUAGUGCUUAGGCGAAGCCCUGCGUGGAUCACAUCACCAACACCGUCAUUACGCCAUCGUGCUUACGGAACUCAUCGGCUCCAUUGACACUCUGCUGGAUCAAGAAUUUGAGUGACGUCAUUGAGCUGAACGCAUGCAGAACUCGAAGGUGUCGUACGUUCGGUACUUGAUCGGUUGACUCGAGAAGACGUUCGACUACAUCAACCGCGUUAAGUUAACGCUUUCACUUUCGGUCUACGAGGGUAUGUGGACAAACUCCCCCCCUCUCAUUGCUAUGCAUCUCCUAGAUAGAUCUUGCAUGAGCGUAGGAAUUUUUUUGAAAUUGCAUGGCUACGUUUCCCAACAGUGGCAUUCGAGCCAGGUCUAUGCGUAGAUGAUAUGCACGAGUAGAACACAAAGAGUUGUGGGCGGUGAUCGUCAUACUGCUUACCACCAAUGUCUUAUUUUGAUUUAGCGGUAUUGUUGGAUGAAGCAGCCCAGACCAACCUUACAUGAUCGUGUUCAUGAGACCGGUUCCACCGACAGACAUGCAACUAGUUUUGCAUAAAGGUGGCUGGCAGGUGUCUAUUUCUCCAACUUUAGUUGACUCAAAUUUGACUGCGGCCGGUCCUUGUGAAGUUUAAAACAGCAAACUUGAUAAAUCACCGUUGUGGUUUUUGUGCCGUAGGUAUGUACGGUUCAUGCUAGCAGCCCGUAGCAGCCACGUAAAACUUGCAACAAACAAAGUAGAGGACAUCUAACUUAUUUUUGCAGGGCAUGUUGUGAUGUGAUAUGGUAAAGACAUGAUGUGAUAUAAAGAUUGUUGUAUGAGAUGAUCAUGUUUUGUAAAAGUUAUCGGCAAUUGGCAGGAUACAUAUGAUUGUCGCUUUAUUGUAUGAAAUACAAGCGCUAUGUAAUUGCUUUACUUUAUCACUAAGCGGGAGCGAUAGUCGUAGAAGCAACGGUUGGCGAGAUGACCACGACGCUACGAUGGAGAUCAAGGUAUCAAGCCAGUGACGAUGGAGAUCAUGACGUUGCUUCGGUGAUGGAGAUCAUGAGCACAAGAUGAUGAUGGCCAUAUCAUGUCACAUAUUUUUGAUUGCAUAUGAUGUUUAUCUUUUAUGCAUCUUAUUUUGCUUAGUACGGCGGUAGCAUUAUAAGAUGAUCCCUCACUAAAUUUCAAGGUAUAAGUGCUCUCCCCAAGUAUGCACCGUUGCGAAAGUUCUUCGUGCUGAGACGCCACGUGAUGAUCAGGUGUGAUAGGCUCUACGUUCAAAUACACUGGGUGCAAGCCAGAUUUGCACACACGGAAUACUCGGGUUAAACUUGACGAGCCUAGCAUAUACAGAUAUGGCCUCGGAACACUUGAGACCGAAAGGUCGAACGUGAAUCAUAUAGUAGAUAUGAUCAGCAUAGUGAUGUUCACCAUUGAAGACCUCUCCAUCUCACGCGAUGAUCGGACAUGGUUUAGUUGAUUUGGAUCACGUAUCAUUUAGAUGACUAGAGGGAUGUCUAUCUAAGUGAGAGUUCUUAAGUAAUAUGAUUAAUUGAACUUAAUUUAUCAUGAACUUAGUCCUGGUAGUUUUUUGCAUAUCUAUGUUGUAGAUCAAUGGCCUGUGCUACCAUUCCUUUGAAUUUUAAUGCGUUCCUAGAGAAAGCUAAGUUGAAAGAUGAUGGCAGCAACUACACGGACUGGGUCCGUAACUUGAGGAUUAUCCUCAUUGCUACACAGAAGAAUUAUGUCCUUGAUGCACUGCUAGGUGUACUACCUGCCCCAGCAACUGCAGACAUUGUGAAUGCCUAGUAGUCACGUGUUGAUGACUACUCGUUAGUUCAGUGUGCCAUGCUUUACGGCUUAGAAUCAGGACUUCAAAGACGUUUUGCACGUCGUGGACCAUAUGUGAUGUUCCAGGAGUUGAAGUUGAUACUUCAAGCAAAUGCCCGAGUUGAGAGAUAUGAAGUCUCCAACAAGUUCUAUAACUGCAAGAUGGAGGAGAACAGUUCUAUUAGUGAGCACAUACUCAGAAUGUCUGGGUACCAUAAUCACUUGACUCAGCUGGGAGUUAAUCUUCCAGAUGAUUGUGUCAUUGACAGUGUUCUUCGAUCACUGCCACCAAGCUACAAAGGCUUUGUGAUGAACUACAAUAUGCAAGGGAUGGAAAAGACUAUUCUCGAGCUCUUCGCGAUGCUAAAGGCCGCGGAGGUAGAAAUCAAGAAGGAGCAUCAAGUGUUGAUGGUUAACAAGACCACUAGUUCCAAGAAAAACGGCAAGGGUAAAAAGAAAGGGAACUUCAAAAAGACUGACAAGCAAGUUGUCACUCCCGAGAAGAAACCUAAGAAUGGACCCAAGCCUGAGACUAAGCGCUUAUACUGCAAAGGGACUGGUCACUGGAAGCGGAACUGCCCUAAGUAUUUGGCAGAUAAGAAGGAUGGCAAAGUGAACCCCCGGGCCAAAGCAAAAACGACGGCGUAAGCGCCGCCUUAGGUCCAGUCACAGUAAAAAUAGCGAUAACAACCCAAAACAGGAUGACACUUCGGUUGAUUCCGAAGGCAACAACGACCAUAGGGACCCAGCAAUGGAGCAAGACAAACCAGGUCAUGCCGAACACAACCCAAAGCAAACGCCCAAUCACAUAAAUUCAAAGGGCCGAACUCAUCCGGCUACCUCCAAAGAAGAGAACAGUCCAGUCGACAAUGCGUUCAUCAUCCCGGAAGAACAUUCGGAACAAGAUAACCUCCGCAGAAAACUCCUGGCCACAGCACGGAGCCUGAAGAAGCAGAAGCAAAGGCUUAAGGCCGCGCAGGACACGCUCAACCGAAGAUGAAAUAAGGUGCUGGACACCGAAGGGAAACGUGGCUAUAAUCGCCACACAAAGAGCUACCCAAAGCGCAAACUGCUACCCGAAUUUGACGAUGAAGCCGCAGCACCCGUUCGGCCCAAAAACAAUACGGCUACUCAACCGGACCAACCACCUCAUGGCCGCGAUAGAGCAGCCACCGAUACCGCACGCGAUUUACGAGAGCUCCUGGACAAAAAGGCCAGUGCGGCCAGAUCCAUCUAUGGGUCCAGAGGACAUGCUCCGACGCGGGAUGAUGGCCACCACAACGAUCAUACUGACCAAAUACCAAUCCGGAAUCAACACCGGGAGCAACAGUAGCCGGCAGCAUGCCGCAACACGGCCAGAUACAGAGGGGCCGCACACCCCUGUGCUUCACGGACGAGGUGCUAGACCAUGAAUUUCCACAGGGAUUCAAGCCCGUGAAUAUAGAGUCAUACGACGGAACGACGGACCCUGGGGUCUGGAUUGAGGAUUUUAUCCUUCACAUACACAUGGCUCGUGGGGAUGACCUCCAUGCCAUCAAAUACCUCCCCCUCAAGUUAAAAGGACCAGCUCGUCAUUGACUCAAAAGCCUCCCCGAAAACUCAAUUGGAAGUUGGGAGGAACUUGAGGAUGCUUUUAGGGCCAACUUUCAAGGGACUUAUGUCCGGCCUCCAGAUGCUGACGACUUAAGUCACAUAAUACAGCAGUCCAGAGAGUCCGCCCGCAAACUUUGGAACAAAUUCCUCACUAAGAAGAAUCGAAAUGUCGACUGUCCGGAUGCCGAAGCCUUAGCAGCCUUCAAACACAGUAUCCGAGACAAGUGGCUUGCCAGACACCUCGGCCAAGAAAAGCCGAGAACGAUGGCAGCCUUAACAAGCCUCAUGACCCGAUUUUGUGUGGGCGAGGAUAGCUGGUUGGCCCGUAGAGGCACCAGCGACCCGGGUACAUACGAAAUCCGAGAUGGCAACGGGAAGCCACGGCACACUAAGCACAAACGUCGGAAUAAUGAUAGUCCGGACAACACAACGGUCAACGCCAGAUUCAGGGGCUCUCGACCUGGUCAAGGAAAGAAGCCAUUUAAAGGCAGUAGAGAGGAACCAUCCGGCGUGAACAAAGUCCUGGACAGAUUGUGCCAAAUCCAUGGUACUUCCGACAAACCUGCAAAUCAUACCCACAGAGAAUGUUGGGUUUUCAAGCAGGUUGGCAAGUUAAACGCCAAACACAAGGAAAGGGGAACACCAAGAGAAGAUGAGGAUGAGCCUCGCCAGCCGAACACAAGGGGCCAAAAACAAUUCCCACCGGAAGUCAAAACGGUAAACAUGGUACACGCAACUCACGCAGAGUUCGUAGCCCCCCAAUUCAACCCCUGGGCAACUUGCCCGAUCACUUUUGAUCACAGGGACUACCCGACCAGUACCCAACACGGAGGAUCGGCUGCCUUGGUGCUCGACCCAAUAAUUGAUGGAUACCAUCUUACUCGCGUCCUAAUGGACGGCGGCAGUAGUCUUAAUCUGAUAUAUCAAGACACCAUCCGCAAGAUGGGGGUAGACCCAUCCAGAAUAAGUCAAAAUAACGCCACCUUCAAUGGAGUGAUUCCAGGCGUAGUAGCCCACUGCUGGGGCUCCCUCGUAUAAGAAGUGACAUUCGGUUCUCCCGACAACUUCAGAAGCGAGAACCUACUCUUCAACAUCGCCCCCUUCAGCAGCGAUUAUCAUGCAUUGCUUGGAAGAACGGCCUUCGCUUGCUUGAACGCAAUACCGAACUAUGCCUGCCUUAAACUCAAGAUGCCCGGUCCACGCGGCGUCAUCACGGUUAGCAGAAACACAGAGCAGUAUGCGGCACUUCCUGCUGCUGGACUCUAGGCGGCCUCUCCAAAUAGAACACAUGACCGGUCGUCAAGACCACGAACACGGUUAGACGAGUCCAAUACACCAUUUUUCACAAUGGCUCGGAUAAACCUGAGCCAGGGGUUGUACAUGUGUCCCCAUAAAUGAUACAAGGGGCUGCAAACAUGUAACAAAAGCCCACAUUUCGGCUUGCCUCAUUAAUAGGCCGGAUCUUGAACAUUUCUCGAGCAUAACUAACUUUUCACACGUUUUCUUUUUUCUUUUCUACAGACACUACCAGUGCGACACCCUUCCAGGAUAUGGCACGACGGAGACAUAGGCGCAGACGUGCAGCAGGGCCCCGCCCACAGGUUUCUCUUUAGAUUAAGCCCAUGCGUAAACCUUCUUUACUGUCUCUUGUUGCUCGACGUCCCAUGGGUAUUUCACAAACCCAUAAGGGAUACUGGCAUUAUAGGCUUUUGGCCAUGAUAGAUCAAUGCACGUACCUGGAAUCACAGGGUCAAGGGCGUCAUUCAGCCCAAUAUAUGUUACAAAGUCCAAAUACCUU
Molecule: long non-coding RNA, 11267 nt
Filed under: Triticum aestivum (bread wheat)
Lineage: Eukaryota; Viridiplantae; Streptophyta; Magnoliopsida; Poales; Poaceae
Description: long non-coding RNA (TAES_LNC006680)
Source: RNAcentral